Long non-coding RNA from Canis lupus familiaris (dog), 754 nucleotides. RefSeq lists it as uncharacterized. The transcript is spliced from 5 exons. NCBI's taxonomy places the organism in Eukaryota, Metazoa, Chordata, Mammalia, Carnivora, Canidae. The record is from RefSeq and is a predicted model, not a curated record.
UGCUGUUUGCCAUCUGCCAUCCACAUGCCUAGACACUACUGAACUCUAGCCUUGGACUUGAUGGAGCUGGCCUGAAGGUAGAUCGCAUGAUUACUAUCAUCACCAAACCCAGAUAACUGCAGUGGUUGGACUGGACCUGGAGACUUUGGCUGUAUACUGGCAGGACAGUCCUGGUAACCCACCAAAAAUAUUGAGGAAGUUAACCCAUCACAGGAGUUUACUUUGAUGAUCUCUGGAAGAUGGAGGAUGGUAUCGAGAUCGGCUGGCAUUUAUGCACUAAGUCAGUGAGAAUGUAUUUGGAGACUGAAAAGUCCUGGCAGUCUUCAAAUGGCAACCUGUAUCAAGUGGUCUGAUCUGCAUGUCAGGAAAUACCUACAUAGUCAGCAAGUUCCCUAGUGAAAUCUGCAACUGAGUUUCCAAUUUAAAACAGAGGGUUUUAAAGUGUGGUUUGCACACAAUGAUUUCUUCCGAAGAGGGAAGUGUGAAAAGAGUAAAUUUACUGCAGAGAAACCAGACAAACACUAUUUUAGCCAGGUGAUCAAGGUCAACAACAUUGGUUCUAUAAACUCUUCCUCUCUGGAUCUCCAAGUGAGUUGUUACUAAUCCCCUCAUUAUUACACAAUCCCUUAUGUUUUCUCUAUACUCACAUUUUUACAAACAAGACCUCAAGCUAUUUCAGUUCCAUUGUGCUCCCUGUUUGCUAUUGGCCCUCUCACUGAUAAAAAUCACUUACCCAUAUUUCACUUGUAUCAAU